ACUCCUCUCGGGGAGUGUUAUAGCCCGUUGCAUAAUACCCUUCCGGGGAUCGAGGUUCGCGCUCUGCAAGGACGCUGGCAUAAUGGUCAUCAGUGACCCGUCUUGAAACACGGACCAAGGAGUCGAACAUUUGUGCGAGUGUUUGGGUGUCAAACCCUCACGCGUAAUGAAAGUGAACGGAGGUGGGAGCCCUCAAGGGUGCACCAUCGACCGAUCCUGAUGUCUUCGGAUGGAUUUGAGUAAGAGCAUAGCUGUUGGGACCCGAAAGAUGGUGAACUAUGCGUGAAUAGGGUGAAGCCAGAGGAAACUCUGGUGGAGGCUCGCAGCGGUUCUGACGUGCAAAUCGAUCGUCAAAUCUGCGUAUGGGGGCGAAAGACUAAUCGAACCAU
This 389-nucleotide ribosomal RNA is filed under the name Anthostomella helicofissa. Its description in RNAcentral is "partial large subunit ribosomal RNA". It matches the Rfam family "Eukaryotic large subunit ribosomal RNA", at positions 551 to 943 of the family's 3401-position model. The record is from RNAcentral. Lineage: Eukaryota; Fungi; Ascomycota; Sordariomycetes; Xylariales; Xylariaceae.